GAGGCCAGUAGUAAGUCAUUUACCACUUUAACCAGUGCUGUCUCUGUGCUAUGAUGAGGCCUAAACCCUGACUGAGGAUGACCAUAGCUGCUGUGCUACAACCUUUUCUAGGAUCUUGGAGAUAAAGGGGAGGUUUGAUAUUGGUCUAUAGUUAGACAGCUGACAGGGGUCAAGGUCAGGUUUUUUAAUCAAGGGCUUGAUAACUGCUAGUUUAAAAGAUUUAGGUACAUAGCCAAUGCUAAGGGAAGAAUUGAUUAUCUUUAAAAGAGGUUUGAUUGUUUCAGGAAUUAUCUGUUUGAAGAAACAAGUAGGUAAAGGAUCUAGUAUACAGGCUGAUGAUUUUGAUGAUGAAAUUAGUGAAAUUAGUUCGGCCUCUUCAAGGGGAGUAAAACAUUGUAAUUGUUGAUCUGAUGUUAUUAUAUUAUUAUCUACAGGGUUAGUUAUAAAACUGUCCAGUUUUAUAUUAAUAGUCUGAAUUUUUUGCCAGAUAUUUUCAAUUUUACCACUGAAAAAUUUCAUGAAGUCAUCAUUGCUAUAUAAUGAUUGUGUGCAUGUUUCUGUUGUAGUCUUAUUCUUAGUUAAUUUUGCUACAGUAUUAAAUAAGAAUCUAGGAUUAUUUUUGUUAUCUUCAAUUAGGGUGGAGAGAUACAUUGAUCUAGCAGCACUAAGAGCUUUCUUAUAGCUCAAAAGGCUCUCCUUCCAUGCUAUUUGAAAUACUACCGAUUUAGUUUGACGCCAUUUACGUUCUAGUUUUCAAGUUUUCUGUUUUAAAGUUUGUGUGUGAUCGCUAUACCAGGGUGCUAGCUUUUUCUCCCUAAUUAUUUUUGAGUGGAGCUACCUUAUUUAGCGAGUUGCAGAACGUUGAUUCUAAGCAUACAGUUGCCUGGUCAAGUUCUCUGGGAUCAGAUGGUGAUCCAAUCAUGGUAAAACUCUGUGCAGUUAUUGACGUGCAAGUACGUUUGACACGGUGACGUGGCAAGGUGCAUAUAUUAUGAUUGAGACACAUUUUAAAUGAGAUGAGGUAAUGAUCUGAGAUAGCUUCAGACUGUGGAAAUGAGACUAUAUUUUCUAUAUUUAAUCCGAAUGUUAGUAUUAAAUCAAGAGUGUGAGCACCACUAUGAGUUGGUCCUAUUACAUUCUGAUUAACCCCUACUGAAUCAAGAAUGGACACAUCUGCUGUUCUCAGAGGGUCUUCUGGAUUAUCAAAAUGAAUAUUAAAGUCCCAACAAUUAAUGCUUUUUCUAAAGAAACAACCAGGUUAGAGAUGAAAUCCGCAAAUUCACAUAGGAAUUCCGAAUAUGGCCCUGGGGGUCUGUAAAUAAUAAUUACUGGAAUCACCUGGGUAGACUUAUUUUUAGUGGCUACGUAUGUUAUGUUAGUAUAAAGAACUUCAAAUGCGUUGAAUUUAUGACUUGGUUUUUGUGUGAUGCCUAGAUUAUCAUUAUAGAUGACUGCGACGCCUUCUCCUUUGCCAGUUAGACGGGGCUGAUAUAUGUAACUGUACCCGGGAGGACUAGCUUCAUUUAAUGCUACAAAGUCGUUUGGUUUAAUCCACUUUUCUGUUAAACACAGCACAUCAAACUCCUGAUCAGUAAUGCUUUCAUUAACAACAAGCGCUUUAGACGUAAGAGAUCUAAUAUUCAACAGUCCUAGCUUCAGAUCAACGGUGCUGGCUAUGCAUUCGGUUUGAUUUAAUUUUAUGUUAAUUAGGUUACUAAAACAAACAGUCUGAGUAUGUCUAUAAUUUUGUUUAGCUCGGGGAAGAGACACAAUCUCAAUACGGUGGAACCUAAGUAACGACUCAGUGCACCUAGCAGACGGUCGGUUUAGCCUGCCUGUCUGCUCCCUGGCCUUGGCCCUGGAUUGUCACCGAUUAACUAGUCCUGUUCUGAGGCUAUGUGCUAUGCUGCAAGAAAUGAGAGCAGCACCUUCCCUAGUGUGAUGGACACCGUCCCGCCUUAACAGGUCAGCCUUGCCCUCAAAGAUAGUCCAAUUAUCUAUAAAGCCCACAUUGUUUUCGGAGCACCACCUGGACAUCCAGCAGUUCAGCGACCAUAACCUGCUGUAAGCUACAUCGCUACGCCGUAUUGGGAUGGGGCCAGAGCAUAUUACAGCAUCGGACAUCGCCUUCACUAAUUUACACACCUCUACCAUGUCACUCUUAGUAACCUCAGACUGACGAAGGCAUAUAUCAUUAGCUCCUACAUGAAUAACUAUCUUUGAAAACCUGUGCUUGCCUAAGACCCUAAGAUUACCUGCUAUGUCCGGCACCCUGGCUCCCGGUAUACACCUAACUAAAGCUGCUGGUGUCCCUAAAGGCCUAGCUAAGUUCAUGUGCCGCAAGAUAGAGUUACCUAUAAUGAGGGCUCUUUCAGGUUUCUCAGUGUGUGCUUCACUGAGGAGAGCAAACCUGUUGGAAACGUGAAGCGGAGAGGAGUGGUACUCCCGAGGGCAAGCCUUAGCGUUAGCUUUGGCUUUGCGAUUAUGCCGCCAAGUCGUCACCCUUUCGCCCCGCUGUAAAGGCUCUAAUGCCAGAGUUGGGGUAUUACUAACUCCGCCUAAGGCAUCCAGACUUUCCCCUACAGAAACUACGCUGCUCUCACUCUCACUAACCCUCUCUCUAGAGACUGGAUGCGCACCUCUAAUGCUCUGUCAGAGAGCUAACUAACAUGCGUUUAUCACAAAUAAAGCUAUUACUAACAACGGAGGAAGAGUGACUACACAUUGCUACACACUGCACUCAACACACUGAACAAGCUGAAUGUUAGACAUGUUGUUUAACGCACCUUAGUCGAAGAUUUGUUGAUGUUAUUUUAGAUGGCGUGGAUCCGGUGUGGAUGGCCUCCGCUCGCUGUCUUGACAAAAUACAAAAGCGCUCUUCGAGAGAAAGAAAAAUGAAAAUAUGGUAGAAGAGAACGUGAAAAAUACAACAGAUGAAAACUAUAGCGCAAAAUUAUUGAUUGAAAAAAAAAAAGAAACAGUAUAGUUAAGACGCUGACGCAGGCUAGAAACUCCCGGCAAAACAAUUCGAAAAAAGUCAUCAGGUUUGUCUAGAUUACAUUCAUCUUUUUUGUUUAUAACCACUCCUGCAUUACUUUGGCCUUGUGUUUGGGACCACUGUUCUGCUGAAAGGUGAAGUUUCUUCCAAGCUUUAGUUUUUUUUUUUUUUUGUUAAGAAGACUGAACAGGUUCUCCUGUAAUUCAGUUUUCACAAGACGACCAGGUUCUGUGUGCCCACAGAGUAUGAUGCUGCCACCACCAUACUUCACUGUAGGGAUGGUGUUAAUUGAGUUAUGGUCUGCAUUAAGUUUGCACCAAACAUAGCACUUUGGAACUUCCCCAAAUACAGUAUCUUGAUUUUGGUCUCAUGACACCUAAAAAAAACACAUCUUCACUGGCUCACUAUUGUGCUUUCAUGUGGCUGUUCUUGGGCAAUGGUUUCCUUCUAGCCACCCUCCUCAAUGCAGUCCUCAAUUAUGGAGAGCUCUUGAAAUGGUUGUCUGGUGCGCCUUCACUCCACUCUCAGUUACUGUACUCUGUAACUGCUUCAGGGUGACUGUUGGCCUCACUGUGGCCUCGUCUAAGUAGUGCUUGGGCAGUGUGAUGCAGCUUCCACUUCCUCAUUAUUGAUCCAACAGUGCUUACUGGGAUGUCCAACCUCUUAGAUAUAAUUUUAUGCCCUAUCCCCAAGUUAUGAAAUUCUAUUACCCUAUCAUUAAUUUCCUUAGAAUGCUCCUUAGUGUUCAUUUUCACUUUUUUCCUUCAUACUGACAGUAUCUUUAAUAACAAUUCAACUGAGGCUCCCCUUUAUCUCCAAGGUCCUAGUGUAGCACAGCAGCUGUGCUCAUACUUACAUAGGAAUAACAUUCAUGAAAUGUAUCAGUCAGGAUUUAGCUCUCAUCAUAGCACAGAGACAGCACUGGUUAAAGUGGUAAAUGACUUACUACUGGCCUCUGAUCAGGGUUGUGUCUCCUUGCUUGUGCUGCUUGACCUUAGUGCAGCUUUUGAUACCAUUGAUCAUGCUAUUCUCCUUGAUAGACUGAAAAAUGUAGUAGGCAUUAAGGGAACGGCCCUUUCCUGGCUCAGGUCUUAUUUGACUGAUCGUUAUCAGUUUGUAAAUGUAAAUGGUGACUUCUCUUCUCAUACUAAAGUAAAGUUUGGUGUCCUGCUCUGUUUUAGGCCCACUGCUCUUUUCUUUAUAUAUGCUACUUCUGGGCAGAAUUAUCCGUAAACAUGGUUUUUAGCUUCCACUGUUAUGCUGAUGACACACAGUUGUAUGGUUCAGCAAAGCGAGAUGACAGACACCAGCUUAAUAAGGUUGAGGAAUGUGUAAAAGACAUUAGAAACUGGAUGUUUAUUAACUUUCUCUUAUGUAAUUCUGACAAGACAGAAGUACCUGUACAGAAGUAAGCUUUCUGAUUACAUAAUAACUCUGGAUGGCCUUUCUGUUUCAUCGUGUGCAGCAGUAAAAGACCUUGGUGUGAUUACAGACUCUAGUCUUUCUUUUGAAGCUCAGGUAGAUAAUAUCACUAGGGUUGCUUUCUUUCCUCUCAGAAAUGUUGCUAAAAUAAGAAAUAUAUUGUCACUACAUGAUGCAGAAAAAUUAGUUCAUGCUUUUGUUACCUCUAGGUUGGAUUAUUGUAAUGCCUUACUGUCUCGAUGUUCCAGUAGAUGCAUAAACAAGCUCCAGUUAGUCCAGAAUGCAGCAGCAAGAGUCCUUACUAGAACCAGAAGAUAUGACCACAUCACCCCUAUCUUAUCCACACUGCAUUGGCACCACCUGGACCACCUGGCUGGACCAAUCACUAUGGUGACUUCAUUACACCCAUCUUGAGCAUGGCCGUGAGCUCCUCCUGCAACACCUGUUUUUUGUGUUUUGGCAAACAGUAAUAUCGUCUGCAUACCACCACCCCUGUGGGCGUCUCAGUGUGGUGUUUUGUCAGAUUAUUGCAGAAAGUUAGUGGCCAAAACUGUCAGAAAACUGUCAGAAAAAAUGUCAUAAAUCUACUCCUGCAGCUUGGCAACCUCUGUGAUUUGGGACGGAGAGAAUUGGUCUACAUAGGGGACCAGAAUGGAUUGAGCUAUACGAUUAAGAUUCACUUCCAGUCCCAGCUCCUCCUUCUCGAGAACCAUUGUUGCCAAAGCCACAGGGACAGCCUCUGUCCAUGGUUUGAGGAGACAGAGAUGGUAUAUUUGCAGUGCCCUGCCUCAAUCUAUUUACCUUACUUCAUAGUCGAAAUCCCUGACUCAUUAUUUGACCUCAAAUGGCCCAUGCCACUUUUGCGAGUAAAAUUGCACUUUAUCUCCCGGUGAAAGAUCCCGCCUUUUAAACAGCUGGGAUUGAUUGUGCCUGUAGCAAAUUCUCGUGUGUUGGUUAAUGUGUGGAGUUUUGCUCUCAGGUCAAGAUAUACUGAAUUUCACUUUUACUUUGUGAAAGUCCUUCCACCCAUUUUCUCAAGAUGACUUCUAAGAUGCCGCAGGGCUUGUGCCCAUAUAGCAAUUCAAAUGGAGUGAAGUCUGUGGAGGCUUACGGGACCACUAGUACUGCAAAUAAUAGGGCUCGAGCCACUUAUCCCAAUUCUAAUCAUUAUUGUGUAACUCAUAUCUUUCGAUCAUAUUUUUUGACCAGGUCUUUUGUUUGCAGAUUGUAAACGCUGGUAUGAAUCAAUUUAAUUCCUAAUAGUUCAUACAGUUCUUGAAGUGCAUGUGACAUAAAUGUGGUGCCUUGAUCAAUCAGAAUCUCUUUUGGGAUUCCAAAUCUGGAGAUUAUUUUGAAGAUUGCCACCUCAACAUGCAUGCUGAGAUUUUGCAAAGAGGCAAGGUUUCCAUGUAUAUUCUACUAUAACUAAUACAAAGUGAAGCCCUCAUGCACUCCAUUCUAAUGGCCCAAUGAGGUCUAUCCCAAUUCUUUAGCAUGGGACCUUGAUUAAUGGAAGGAGUUCAGUGGUGCUUUUGUGGUGGUUGGUGGAUUCAUCAGCUGACAUUCGUGACAUGCCACACACCCAUACCACCAACAGCAUACAUUCCAAUGAUGCCAGAAAAAUUGUUCCCCCAAGCCAACUCUGUUCACGUCCCACAUUGUGCUACUCUAUUACGGGACUGAUCCACACAAAUUCCCCUUAACAAUGUUGGAAAGUCUGGCCAGUUUGUCUGCAAAAUCAGUGGAUGGGUGAGGCGAGGACUAUCUACUGCCUCUAUUCUAUGUUUUUGUCCCCGGAGUUGAAUGACAGGCAAUAGUAUAUAUUCAUUCUCAUCCCCAUGCAUACACCUCAUCUUCACCCAGCGUGCUCUAUCCAGUGCCUCACCUUGAACCAAGUGUUUGUGAAUUGAGGUUUGAUUACACCCCAAAUCCACCAACAUCAUGUAUGUACGCCCUGGAAUUACCACAGUAUUCCAGUAUACACAGUACUCCUCCAAACCACUGGAAAUUACAAUUUUAUAAAUUACAGUAAUUACAAAUUACAAAUGAACUAUAAACUACUAGGAGAAUAACAGAAACAACAGAAACUUGAGUAAACAUGCAGCAUCUUUAUGCUUCCUCUGUAAUGAAAGUGGAAUCUGGUUCUGCCAGGGAGUCAGAAUCCGGCACAACACGUUGUAUUGGCUAGGAGAGAAAAAAAAAAAAACAAAACGAAACAGUUUAAUCCCUUUCUAAUGAUCAUCGCCAUAUUUGUAAAUUGUUAGAUUCUACACUUCUUUGUAGGCGUAUAUAAUCUUUUUAGGUCAAAAUCUCCCUUUUUCUUUUUGGCUGAAAAACGAAAGAGCCGUUUUUUUUUUUUUUUUUACCAUUUUCAUGCCAAAAUAUUUUGGUGGCAUCCCUAAUAAUUAACUGACGUUACCUUUAUAUGUGUUUAAUGUUAGCAAAGUCAAACACGUUGAAAAAUUUUAUUUCAAUUUAAUGAACUCAAAAUAGUCUCCAUGUACCAUGACAGAAAGCGAGUGCACCCUGUGAGUUAAAAUCAUGUGGGAUUGGGAGAAAGGGGCGGGGCUUCCAGGCAGUGUCAGUUAAUGUCAAAGAGUUGAAAAUAUCACACAGAUCACUCCAGAUUAAUGUUUAUUGGGGAGAAAAAGACUGCUGCAUAUUUUUGAGUGAUUUGUACUUGUACAAGUGUACGCUGAUGUUAAACUGCAGAGCUUCUACGCAAAAUGUAUAAAGGUUGGCAUGAGUGGUAAUAUAAUAUAAUGGAAGUAAAUGACACUAGAUAUGGUGGCAGUGUAAUAUUGUGUGGGGGCAAUAAAAUCAUUAUAUUGCACACACCUAAUGCACAGAUUUAAUAUAAUAUUUAAAAUUUUGCAUAUUUAUUGCACCAGUUUAUUUACUUUCAUUGAUAACAGUGUAGCCUAAAAAAGUAUUUAAAGCUGGAAAUAUAAUUUGAAGUCUGUGUGUAGCUGUUAACUGAAGUGCAGUUUAGAGCAUUCUUUGCUGUACAAAUAAAUCAGUGUUAAAAUAGCAAUGCCCUGAUAUAUUGCUUUGAAUAUGGACAAGUCAAGUAGUCGACAUCUUUUUUUAAAUUACUGGUCAACUAGUAAAAAUUUGUAGUCAUGCAUCCCCUAGCGUGUGUGUCUGCCACUGGUCUCCAGUGUGUGUUUGUUUUAUCUCUGCUGUUUUAAGGCCUGAUUGAAUGACCAAAUCCUGUGAUUAACUGGAUAAAUAAUGUCUGUCAAUUGAAUUACAUAACUCGGUGGGGUAACGGCUGUGGAGCGCUAUAACUACUUGAUUUAGGACCAGACCACAGAAGACUAUAAUCGCUUCUGGUGAGAGUGGUAACAACAGUGGAAAAGAAGGGGAAAGAAUCACUCUGACAACCAGGUCAAAAAGGAUUCUGGUUUCCCAGGAAGGAUCCAGCUGAUUGGCUUGCCAGUCCAAGCAUUGCACCAGUACCAGGAUACCCGCAAGGCAAGGACAGUUCUCCAGAUACUCGAAGGAACUCUCUCUCGAUUGAGGAAGAAGGAAGAUGAAAGGAGAAAGCAAUGAUAGGAAGGGAAAGUCAAAUAUCAACUCACAACUGCAUAACAUUCAACUUACAACUCAUUAAACAUUUCACUGACACAUGCAACAAUACCAAUGUAACAUAUAACUCUUGAAUAAACAUAUAUGACAUAAAAAAAAAUCACAUUUCCACUGGUGUAUUACCAAUAUAUGUAUAUAUAAUAAUUUCCAUUAAAAUAAUUGACUUUCAACUUCAACACGUUGUUCGUCUAAUCACUUUAGGGUUUUCUAAAUUUUCUGAGCAACACGUGUGACCUAGCCCAUGUGCGGCCAAUACGCUCAAUGCACCUAUGGUAUUAGCAAAACUAGGUACAUGUGGCAGCAUAAGUUGCAACAAAAUGAAGAAACUUUAGCUAGUAUGCACAUUUAGUCCAAUAAUACCGUUACUAAACACAUUUUGUUUGAGUUAAACACAGUAUUAAAACACACUUUUCUCUUACAUGGCACCAAAUCCUUAUCGUUUAUUAACGAACAGCAGUUAUACUGU
This is a long non-coding RNA of Pangasianodon hypophthalmus (striped catfish), 8477 nucleotides long. RefSeq lists it as uncharacterized. The transcript is spliced from 3 exons. The record is from RefSeq and is a predicted model, not a curated record. NCBI's taxonomy places the organism in Eukaryota, Metazoa, Chordata, Actinopteri, Siluriformes, Pangasiidae.